GGAGUUGCUGCUGCUAUCUGUCGAGAUCAAGCUGGCAUUUUUCAAGGUGCUUCGGCUCUGGUUAUCAAGGGAACCAAUGACCCAUCAACGCUCGAAGCAUUAGCAGUCAGAGAGGCUUUGGCGCUUGCCGAUGAUCUUAAUAUUCGCAUGAUACAUAUCGCUUCUGACUGCAAAGUCGUAGUGGACGACAUCAAGAACAAAACACCGGCUAUCUAUGGAGCUAUUAUGCAUGAAAUCAUAGACCAUAGUUCCACUUUUAUAUCAUGUACCUUUGUGCAUGAGUUUAGGAGCUCAAAUUUCGAGGCUCACAAUCUAGCGAAGCAUAGUUUGAAUUUGGGGGUUGGCCGCCAUGUGUGGUUAGGCAAUCCUGGUAAUCUUUCUUUUGUACCUUUGAACAUUGGCACAAGUUAA
This 411-nucleotide ribosomal RNA is filed under the name Triticum aestivum (bread wheat). RNAcentral describes it as "partial small subunit ribosomal RNA". Lineage: Eukaryota; Viridiplantae; Streptophyta; Magnoliopsida; Poales; Poaceae. The record is from RNAcentral.